RNAcentral lists this ribosomal RNA (465 nucleotides) under uncultured bacterium. Its description in RNAcentral is "partial 16S ribosomal RNA". It matches the Rfam family "Bacterial small subunit ribosomal RNA", at positions 28 to 507 of the family's 1533-position model. The record is from RNAcentral.
GACGAACGCUGGCGGCGUGCUUAACACAUGCAAGUCGAACGGAAAGGCCCCUUCGGGGGUACUCGAGUGGCGAACGGGUGAGUAACACGUGAGUAACCUGCCCUUGACUUCGGGAUAACUUCAGGAAACUGGGGCUAAUACCGGAUAGGAAUCCUUGCUGCAUGGUGGGGGUUGGAAAGCUUCGGCGGUUUUGGAUGGACUGGCGGCUUAUCAGCUUGUUGGUGGGGUAGUGGCUUACCAAGGCUUUGACGGGUAGCCGGCCUGAGAGGGCGACCGGCCACAUUGGGACUGAGAUACGGCCCAGACUCCUACGGGAGGCAGCAGUGGGGAAUAUUGCACAAUGGGCGGAAGCCGGAUGCAGCAACGCCGCGUGCGGGAUGACGGCCUUCGGGUUGUAAACCGCUUUCAGCAGGGGCGAAGCUUGUGGUGACGGUACCUGCAGAAGAAGCACCGGCUAACUACGUG